CCUACGGGAGGCUGCAGUAAGGAAUAUUGGACAAUGGCCGCAAGGCUGAUCCAGCCAUCCAGCGUGCAGGAAGAAGGCCCUAUGGGUUGUAAACUGCUUUUAUCAGGGAAUAAACCUCUGGAUUUACUCCGGAGCUGAAGGUACCUGAAGAAUAAGCACCGGCUAACUCCGUGCCAGCAGCCGCGGUAAUACGGAGGGUGCGAGCGUUAUCCGGAAUUACGGGGUUUAAAGGGUGCGUAGGCGGCUACGUAAGUCAGGAGUGAAAGUUUGCGGCUCAACCGUAAAAUUGCUUCUGAUACUGCAUAGCUAGAGUACGGUAGAGGGGGAUGGAAUUCCGAGUGUAGCAGUGAAAUGCGUAGAUAUGCGGAGGAACACCGAUGGCGAAGGCAAUCCCCUGGACCUGUACUGACGCUCAUGCACGAAAGCGUGGGGAGCAAACAGGAUUAGAUACCCCUGUANUC
Molecule: ribosomal RNA, 461 nt
Filed under: uncultured bacterium
Lineage: Bacteria
Description: bacterial SSU rRNA
Rfam family: Bacterial small subunit ribosomal RNA
Source: RNAcentral